CUGCAGUCAGCACAAGCCAGCUACCAAUCUGUGUCCCAACCCAGUGGCCCACAGUCCGCACAAGCCAGCUACCAGGCUUUAGUCUGUCCCAGUG
Long non-coding RNA from Sinocyclocheilus anshuiensis, 94 nucleotides. RefSeq lists it as uncharacterized. NCBI's taxonomy places the organism in Eukaryota, Metazoa, Chordata, Actinopteri, Cypriniformes, Cyprinidae. The transcript is spliced from 3 exons. The record is from RefSeq and is a predicted model, not a curated record.